Non-coding RNA from Meleagris gallopavo (turkey), 5664 nucleotides. Lineage: Eukaryota; Metazoa; Chordata; Aves; Galliformes; Phasianidae. The record is from RefSeq and is a predicted model, not a curated record.
GACCCCCCUCAGUGCCGCCCUGAUGAUUGCACCUGCUGGGUGCACCUGUUGAUGUGUGCAGCUGUGGGAGACUCAGCAACACUCCACUGCCUCCUUCUCCCCCCAAGGAUUCAGCCCCAGGUCCUAAAGCUGCCUCUGCACCCCCUGCCCAAGCUCUUGGCAGCUCUUGAUGGUUGUGGCUGAGGUAGGGGGUUCGUUUGGCUUCCCGCCAUUUCCUGAUUGCAACAAAAUGGCGGCAGAGUGCCCUGUGCUUCAGCUCCCUCAGCAGCUCCUGCCCCAGAGAGGAGCUUCCUGGGAAACCUUCUCCGGCCUUUGCAGUCUGGAGGACCCAAUUCUUCAUUUUUGUUGUAGAAGCACACUGCAAUUCAUCAAACACAGAAGGGUGGUGGAAACAAGAUACGGCCCAGUCAUCUCCCUCAAGUAAGUCAUUCCCUGAUCAUGACAGGCACGAGCCAACACUCUGCGUCUACGUUCUCAUUGUUUGCAGUGAAUUUGGAGCCUGACACUAAGGAUGAAAGCCUUUGUCAGCUGUACAGAUGGGGAAGCCAAGGCAUGCUGGAAUUGUUUGCUGAAGAUCUCGAUGAGUUAGACCAGAACAGAAGUUGCACCCCCAAAUGCUUCCUCCAACUGCUGAUACCUAUAGCUCUUUGUAAUGGUUUGGAUAGGCAUGUGACCAUUUAUGAUCCACCAUUGGUAUAAGCAUUAAUCUCAGUGAUUGAAAUUCAAUAUUUUAGUCCUCGUUAUGCCUUUGGCAGGCUGUGUGUCACGUGACAGAGCACUUCACUUCUACAGAAAUCAUUUUUUUCUAUCUGUUAUAAGCUGCAGUUAAUAAUGGUUACCCAGUGUCAUGACACGUUUGAAUUAGAAAAAAUCUGAAACAAAUGCCAGGUGGUAUUACUAAUUGUUAGGCUUUUAUUUUAAUUAUUGCAUGGAUAUUCGUAGAAAGUACUUCAAGCUAAGAGAAAAAAGCACUUCUGUUAGCAGAAUAAAGCAAAUGGGAAAAGGUUCAUUGGAAUUUGACAGAUUAAAGGUGCAUUGCUAAAAUGGUGUGGUAGCCAACUAUUACAGCUUAGAAUGUUUAUGUAUAAGUAUAUAAAUGACAAUGUUUCAGAAACCUUGAAUUUUAUAUAAUCUACCUAUGAUCUUCCAUUCAGAUGAAAAUGAAGACUAAGGCAGGAAAAAAUACAGAUUGAUUGUACCUUUUUUCCUAGAUUUCAUUCUGUCUUCAGGAAAACUGAGUCAAUGGCAAGAACUACAAAAACAGUUGCAUGCUAUCAGUUAUAUCAUAUAAUAUUGAAGAGAUUAGAGAACAGACAAAAAUGAUUCCUUGCUGAAGGAUAAAUUCUCUUGAUCUGCCAAGACUGUGCUUCAUCUGCUUUCUAGCCUUAGGAAUUGACUCCUAAUAGGUGAAAAAUAUAUUGUUCUAUUUUUUAAGCCUGUUUCUACAUGAUCAGCUGAAUCCUAUUUGUGAACUACUGUAUUAGUAAUUAAACUGAUCAUCAUACUAACACAUAGGAGGUUAGGAUCUGGGAGCAAGACUGGGAUAUUCAGGUCAGUUCAGUAGCAUGAUAGGAUCUACACAAUGAGAAUCAGGGUCCUAUUUAUAAGUACCUAACCAUUCUGGGACUGAAGUGAUUCAGUUGUUUUCUGAAAGAAAACUGAAAGAAAAAGCUUGUGCAUAAGUCAGUUAACUCAGGGAAAUUUGCAUCCCAAAAUCUCCUUGGCUCAUAGGUCUACUCUUGGUCUUUUAAAAGUACUGCAUAAAGCAAAUAAGUGACAUGCUUCUCCUAUAGUACACUGAAAAGCUGAAAAUCAUAUUCACUUAUACUUAAGAGGCAAUUUGUUGCAACAAAGAAGGAAAUUGUAGUGAUACUCUUUCUGAGCAGUUUCUGGGGUGGAAAAAAGGCUUUUCCAACUUUUCUAGAGAAAUUUGCCCCUUUCUUCAUUGCUCAGUACUUUUGUGUGUACCAAAGAAGAGGAUUCCAUGGCUUCUGAUAUCAGUUUCAUCAGAGCAAGUUGUUCAGAAUGAGAGAGGAGACUGUCAGUGGACUUACUCGCUUUCUUCAGUGAGGAUAAACAGAAGUGAACCCUUGACAGUAAUUUGAGAGUGGUGGUUAAUGUCUCUGAGAUGGUAUGAGGCUGACCUACCAAUGCUGUAAUUGUGUGACUCUGACUUGUUUCUGGAUUAUUUUCUAAAUGUCAUUAAAGCAUUACUGGGGCUUCUUGUGCCUACAUUCUGCUGGAAGCUUCUGUGAGAUGCUUCCUUAGUGAAAGUUUGAAGCUUCUUACCUAUUCUGCUAUUGUCUAGAGUGCUGAUUGUGUUCACCUGAGACGUUCACUGAGCAGAUGAGUGAAUUCUCAGAAAAGAGGAGGACUCAAUGCUUCAGUGAGAGCAGCAUUUCAUUGCAAGGGGAAUGAGAGAAAGAUAGUCCAAAAGAGAGGAAAAGGGAGAGCAGGCAAAACAGUCAAACGGGAGACCUUUCAAUAGUAAGGUCUCACUGAGCUUUGACGACAAAGACGGGGCUCUGCUGAACACGUAGAAUUUCAGACAGGGACCUGAACUGAUAAGACCCUGCUUGCAGCUCUAACUUAUCCAGUCUUAAUUUCCUCGGAGACAGCUAGCAAGAUAGAAAUGUAUCUGCAGCAAUGACAGCAGUGAUCUGUGGUGUUUGGUGCCAGGAUCCCAGUACUAUCGAGGUCAAUGUUUGCAUGAGGUUAUCCAUCCCAUAAAUUCAAAUUUUCUGGAGGGAGCUUUAACUUGCAUGUUUGUCUUUUAUACAUAUGUAUAAGUAAUAUGUAUAUACAUUCACCAAAACAUGCAUACAUACAUAUGUGUAUUCCAUUUUAGUGUUUCUGGACAUAGCAUCUUCCAUUGCUGAUGUGUCUAUUUUCUUCCCUUCACUUCUUUGCACCAUUCCCUCAGAAGGCACCUUUGGGACUGCGUUCACCUUGCUCUCAGAACAGCAGAACUGUGCUCAUGUUGCCGUUUCUUGUGCUUGGAGAGAAGUCUGGUGGACAAGUUUUACUUGACACAGAGACAGUCUCCUAUGAUGCACUGUGUAUGCUUUGAAUGACAUGUUGUCUCUCUGGUUGGAGGAAAUAUGUGAUAAAAUAUAGCAGUAGUGAGAAAAUGGUCCAAGAGCAGCGCAUUCUGAAACAACCUCCUCUCCCCUUUUUAAAAAUUGCCUUUAGUGUGGUUGACGGUAGUAUUUCAAAGGCAGCAGUUGAUAGCAAAUGGGAAGAAAAGCAACAGUGAAUUAAAGAAGAUUUGAAGAGAUAAAAAUGGUAAUUUAUAGGUGAGAAAGUCUGAUUAGAGAUGUUGUUACUUUUUAGUUAAUGAAAUGACCUAUCUAGUCAAAUUGGAUAAUUCUCGUAGUGAGAUAUUUUUUCUUUAUUACCAGAUUAGCGGAACCUCUCUCUUUCCUCAGUGAAAAUGAAAUGGCAAUUUUAGCAUUCUUAAUUGGUUUGGUUCUUUUCCACAGUAGCAAGUGAACUGAGAAAAUACUGCUUAUGAACAGGUUAUGAACUUAAGUCUAAAAUCCAUGCACUGUCUGCAUCAAAUAAAAAAGUGGCUAAUGAAACAGUCUUCAGUUUCUAAUUUCACAGAGAGCUGAUGUUGCUUUAAGGUGUAGUUCCUGCAUAGAAUGCAUGCAGUGAAUGAAUAUUAGUAAUGAGAAGCAGAGUUAAUUUGUGGUUGAAUGGUGUGUCUGUACUCAGAGUGACAGAAUGUGUAGCCAAAGCUAUAUAUUAUACCAAAUUCCACUGAAAGCAGUAGUAGAAGUGUAGGAAAAUGUUAAAAGGACCUCUUUUUGUUCCCAGACAAAUCUGCAGGUGAAUUAGAGAUAAUGUAUAGAAUGCUUGCAGUGAUUCAUAACCAAGUUAUGCACUCUAGAAUAGGGAGUAUUAACAGUAAAUUUUUAAUACGGUGACUUAAUGCAUGCUGGAAGAGGGUGAAUUAAGCAAAUUAAACUGUAGGUGCCAAAUGGAUAUUAUUUAAGAACAGCAAAGUUUGCCUGAAAUUGAACCAAAAUGAAAACCCACAAGAUGUUUGGAGUCCAACUGUUCCUCCUGGUGACAUGUACAGGUGCCUCUAGUUGGACUCCUGUAAGUUUCCUUCUGGUUCUCAGUGCAUGUAGCUCAUUUCUCUGAUGUUUUCCAAAAUUCAUAGCAGAAAUGAUCUCCUCCAUCAUCUGGAGUGCUUUGCUCCUCAUGCAAUUUUUUUCUUUUGCAGCCAGUACUGAAGUUAAUUCCCCGUAUUUCUCCUGUUACCCUCUACCAUCUCUGCCUCUCUGUUACAACACUUAAAAAUUCAUGUGAAAGUCUGAUAUCUUUGUCCAUUUUUUUUCUCUUUUCCAACCCCACGCAUUCCUUAUUACAUUCCUUUAAGCAGAUCAGUCAUCUCAUCAAAAAACAGGAGAUUUCUAGCAGUUGUUUCUCCUUAUAUUUCUAUCUUGCAAAUGAUUAAAACUACACUCAGAUGUAUAAAGUAACUAUGGGAUUUCUGGAGCACAGCGUGUAUUUGGUACCUUUUUGUCAGACAAUGCUCUUUGGGUCAAAACUUGUUUCCUUGAAAGGAAGAUGUUUGAAAUUGGAAUGCUUUGGUUACAUAAUGUCUGCUCCCAGUGGUUUGUCCUCAAAACUACUCAGUUCAGUGCUGUGUGACAGUUCUUCACUAGCUCAGGUUGCAGGGAACUAUAUUGGUGAUUCUGAAAAAUGAAUUCAAUUUCUGUCAACAGAAGGAAUAAAUGUGCAUCUGUGCAGGUAGACAUGGAUUACUGCAUUGUCACAAGCCAUUAUGGGAAUGUAGAUAUGGUAAACUUGAGAGAGAGAGCUGUCAUCAUGAACUGGUAGAGAGUAAGUAGUCACACAACCACCUAUUGUCUGCAGUGCUCUGACAGGCUGGCACAUUUUGUUUGUGGAAUAAAACUACACUUCUCUAACCUCCACUGCACUACUCUAACCUCAAAAUGCUGAUAGGCCAGCUGUGAAGGUAGAUUGUUUCCUUCCUAGCAGUAGUGUCAGCUACGUAUUCUGGAUUCCUCCUACACUCUGGCAGUAAGACUCAGCUUUGUUGUAUUUUAUCCUCUUUUGUUUUGAUAUAAAAAGAAUAGAUGGAUACUGCUACUUAUUCUGAAAUAUGUCCAUAGCAAUGUUAAAGGUUAUUAAUUCCAUCUUGUUGCUUAAAAUACCCAUAUAGCCAUGGGAAGUGGAAAGAAAGCACCACUUGAAUCAAUCCAAUUUUUGUUUUUGUAAAUGGAUUUGUUUUUCUUCCUAUGAUUUGGUGCAGGUGUUGUCAAGAUAUCUGAUUUAUGGAUUUUAGUAACCCAGGGACAGCUCAUCACUUUCCUAAUUUAAACAGCUAAGAAAAAGUUGACCUGUCUACUAAAAAGUGUUUUUUUCCUUUUGGCAUGAAUUCCAGAAAGAAAGCGCUGCAGCUUUCCUAGGGACUGGCUGAUGAAAUGUUCUGCACGGUAUAGUAAUAAAUAUAGCAAAGGAGAAAAGAAAAGGAAAGCACACAUCCCUUAAAAUACAAUUGUUCUUACCUUUCAUUCUGAGUCUCUUUUGGCCAUAUAUAUGAGUGAAGCCAUCCCAAAUCCAUUCCUGUAAAGCUAAUGUAAUUAAUUGAUGUAAUAACGACCCUUAUCUAGAUACUGGUUCUGUAAU